UUCACAAUGAAAUUUGAUAAAUAAAAAGAAAUGUUGGUCUUGUAUAAAGAGAAUUCAUUUAAAGCUUUUUUUAUUAAACCCCCAAUUGCAGAAAAUUUCUGGACGAUACUAGCAAAACAUUCAUCGGACAUUCCUGAAACGGAGAUGGUCGGAUCGAGUUCAAAUGUGCUUGAGGUUUUGUUCCAUGGAAACACUGUGCUUUCAAAUCCUUGUGGUAAACCAGCCACGCAAUUGAAAAUAGUUGCUAAAGGGUAAACUUGCAGUGCAGAAAAUAAUGGUUUCGGACUCCAAUCCUGAUUAUGAAGAAAAUAAUCAUAUACCCGAGAAGGCGCUUCAGAUAUGAAUGGAGAUCUAGCUUCUAAAUUUUUAAAAUUUUCUCCAUCCCAGCUAGGGCAUGUUAGCAGAACUUUGUUUUCGACAGAUAAAUCGCUGGGUGAUGAAUCUGUAAGAUAAGAGGGGGACACUGAGGAUUUAGCUCUUUUUCUUUCUGAAGUAAUUUCCUUAGAUGCGCUUAUGAGUUUGGAAUUGGAUGAUGUCUCACACCCAGGCACAGCGGGUGUUAGUUGUUGAUUUGAAAUAUCGAGAAUGACAUCUUUUCCCAACAGAUCAUCGUUUACUUGAAAUGAAAAGUUUUGAAAGUAUUCCGAGGAGUCAAAUAACUUCCUCUUCAAUCCUUCUUUUCCCUCAAAUUUCGAAAGCUGCUCGACAAAAUCAGAAUCAAAUGAAUUUGGCGUAAGGUCGAAAACGUGGUUGCCGAACCAUAACAAGUCGUUUUUCAUAAUUCCAUCCAUUCCAUUUUUAUUUCAAAAUCAUCUAUUUUAGUGGUACAUUUCAAGAUCCAACUCCUUUACUGGAAAACACUCUUGUUAUGAAUUACUAAAAUUUGGCAAUAUGUGUGUAGUUAAUGUAUAAUGUUGUUAACGUAGCGAAUUAAGAUGACUUCUUAUCUAGAACAGUCAGGAUUAGAAGAUGUGAAUGAAGUAUGCGUCUCUUAAACUAAGAAAUGGAACGUUAGUAAUUGAUCCUAACAUUGAAACCAAUUCAAAAAUCCGUACUCUCGUGGCCGUACAACAGAAAAUACUGACAUGGAGUUAAAGGUAUCCAGGAUGAAUAAAACAGAAUGAUAAAUUGAACAAAAACUAUCAGUUGUUAAGGAAUUACUAUUGCACAAUUGCAUAAUCUAUCCAAAACGACAUUCCAGCAUUUAAUUUUAAGAGAGUGCUAUGUGGAUAAAACGUAUCCUUUAUGGAACUAUAAGAGCUCUUUUAUGCUUCUCUGGUUAGUACAUUUAGAUUUUUUUAAAAAAAAGUUUAUUGUACUAUUCGUGAUAUUAUGGUUACAGUAUACCUCGCUGGCUUGAUCGUUUAUUGUCCAGAGAGCUCGCAUGCGAGUCAAAGCUGAAUGAAUGGUAUCUUCAUAUAAAAAAAGUCUAUUUGGAGAAUUUUGGAUCCUUCAACAAAUUUAUUUGAAGUACUUAAUGUUCUUUCUUAAUUUUUCUCAUAAAACCAUGUGUCAAGCAAUGAAGGAUUUAAAUAUUGUUGGCAAAAGAAAUGUUGCAAUCACUAAUUCAAGUUUGUUUAGAAGCUUGCAUUAUAUAGUUAUCGACUUUUCUUUUGCCUUUGGAAAGGGAUAUCUUCAUUAUUCUUAAUGAAACAGUAUAAAAUUCUUUUAAACACUAGACUAGAUAAGUUGUUUUAAUUCUUUCUCAAAAAACAUAAACGACAGUCUAACUCUAAAAUAAUCGGGAUUUUUGUGACACCAAUGGUAUAAAAAUGAUUAAUUAAAAAUUUUUGCGGAUAACACAAGACUUUGUACUUUGUAUUACUGGAAAAUUUAGCUAAUUAAAAAGGAGAACACAUAAGCAAUGUAUUCUGGAGGUCAAAAUCAAUUGAUUUUAACCUCCAAAUAUCAGCUUGAUGUACCUUUUUUGCCAUGACGAUAAUACAUACAGGACUUUAUAAAAAUCAGCUUGGAUUAAAUGACAACCUACUUAUCUAGAAAUAGAAUUUAAAAUAAACAUUCAGUACCCCCAAAUCCUUUUUAUAAAUUAAGACUAACUAUCACUAUCAGAUUCCAAGUUUAUACUUGGCAAAGAGAUAUUGUCUUCCUCCUCAUCAUCUUCUCCGUUUCCUUCCACAUUAAUAGAAGUCGUUUUCUCAUCUACGACAUCCGUUGUUUUUUCAAAAGUUUCGACGACUGAAGAAGUUGUGUUUCCAUUUUCAUCACCAUUUAUGUUUUCAAUUUGGCUUGAAACUACACUAGUAGGUCGGUCAACAAAGUCAACGUCUAUAGCAGUAAAUUUGGUUUCAGUGUCCUGAGAAUUGUUUAAUGCAACAUUUGUAGUCUCCUCAACCUCAACAUCUCCAUGCAACAGUGAAACAGUUGUUUCCUUGUUUUCCGAAACAAUGUUAAUGUGAUCAGUCCCGUGAUUAAUAGUUGAAGGUUGAGAAGAGUUGAUUUCACUACCUUCUUCAUUUCUGUCACCCUCAUUAGAAAGAACAUUAGACAUAGUCAGCUCUGAUUCGCUUCUUUUGUUCUCGGAGGUAGCUGUAGAAUUAUUCUGUAAGCCUGUAUCUGUAGAUGCAAAAGACUCUUUGAUCCCUUCAAUUUCAGUGGAAUCUGUAAUCGACUCUGUUUCAAAGGGAGGAUUUGAUGGAGCCAAAAUACUACUUUCUUUAUACUCUGAUUGAGAAUCCACCUGGGGUGGAGAAAUAUGCGAUUGGUUUUCAAGAGAAACAGGCUCAAAUCUUGACUCAAACGUAUUUUCAAAUUCGCUUGGUGAAAGAUGUUUUUGCAAAGGUGGGAACCUAGGAUGAAUCAGCGAUUCUAUUGUUUGCAUCGAUGACCUUGCGUGUGAAGCGACCAGAGGAUCUGGAUGUACAAGCCCUAAUGGACCAGAAAUUAUACGUAUUGCAUGAGGUACUAUCACUGCUUGUGAAUCUCCCGGUGAUAAAAUUGACGCAAGGAGUAAAUUAUGCAUAGAUAUCAAAACUGUUGAGGUAGGGUUAGACAAAGAUAUCUGCAAGGUGCAAAGAUCUAUUUUGGUCCGUAAUAAACGUGGUAAUGCUAUUGAAUGAGUCAAAAUGGAUGCUAAAAAAGAAAAACAACAAUCCAUGACAUCUGAAUCAUAAAGCUGAUGAGACUCUUCCGAACUCAUAAGUGUAUCUCCUGCUUGACUUUCAGAAAGUGUUUUUCGCUUUUUUUGAGAAUGCCCACGAUUUUUAGAGAACUCUAUGGAUUUGGAUGCUAAACCUUUAGAGGAAUUAGCAAGAUAUUCUAAUACCAGCGUUACAAUAUUUUCGUAUUUUGAAAGAGGGACAUUCAUAUGUGUCACAUCCAAAAACUUUGAAAGUAACUUUAAAGAAGAGCAUAAAACCCCAGUAUGUGUUGACUCAGAAAGUAAACAAUCAUUUAAUGAAUCCAGGUAAG
Schizosaccharomyces pombe (fission yeast) is the source of this 3429-nucleotide non-coding RNA. NCBI's taxonomy places the organism in Eukaryota, Fungi, Ascomycota, Schizosaccharomycetes, Schizosaccharomycetales, Schizosaccharomycetaceae. The record is from the annotation of a GenBank genome assembly.